UAUCACAAAAAACAAUCAGUAAGUGCUCAGA
RNAcentral lists this non-coding RNA (31 nucleotides) under Mus musculus (house mouse). Lineage: Eukaryota; Metazoa; Chordata; Mammalia; Rodentia; Muridae. The record is from RNAcentral.